RNAcentral lists this ribosomal RNA (538 nucleotides) under uncultured bacterium. RNAcentral describes it as "bacterial SSU rRNA". It matches the Rfam family "Bacterial small subunit ribosomal RNA", at positions 770 to 1313 of the family's 1533-position model. The record is from RNAcentral.
ACUCAAUAGAUACCCUGGUAGUCCACGCCCUAAACGAUGUCAACUAGUUGUUGGGGAUUCAUUUCCUUAGUAAACGUAGCUAAACGCGUGAAGUUGACCGCCUGGGGAGUACGGUCGCAAGAUUAAAACUCAAAGGAAUUGACGGGGACCCGCACAAGCGGUGGAUGAUGUGGAUUAAUUCGAUGCAACGCGAAAAACCUUACCUACCCUUGACAUGGUCGGAAUCCUGCUGAGAGGCGGGAGUGCUCGAAAGAGAACCGGCGCACAGGUGCUGCAUGGCUGUCGUCAGCUCGUGUCGUGAGAUGUUGGGUUAAGUCCCGCAACGAGCGCAACCCUUGUCCUUAGUUGCUACGCAAGAGCACUCUAAGGAGACUGCCGGUGACAAGCCGGAGGAAGGUGGGGAUGACGUCAAGUCCUCAUGGCCCUUAUGGGUAGGGCUUCACACGUCAUACAAUGGUCGGAACAGAGGGUUUGCCAAGCCGCGAGGUGGAGCCAAUCCCAGAAAACCGAUCGUAGUCCGGAUCGCAGUCUGCAACUC